CCAAUGAGCGAUGAUGAUCUGAUCAGCUACAUCAUGGUGGGUCUCAAAGCUGAUUACAACCCACUGGUUUCCUCUGUCACAACCAGGCUGACUCGAUCGGUCUAUCCGAGUUCUACGCCUAUUUUCUCUCAUA
Dioscorea cayenensis subsp. rotundata (Guinea yam) is the source of this 133-nucleotide small nucleolar RNA. RefSeq annotates it as small nucleolar RNA Z247. The record is from RefSeq and is a predicted model, not a curated record. The transcript has a single exon. NCBI's taxonomy places the organism in Eukaryota, Viridiplantae, Streptophyta, Magnoliopsida, Dioscoreales, Dioscoreaceae.